Molecule: ribosomal RNA, 493 nt
Filed under: uncultured bacterium
Lineage: Bacteria
Description: partial 16S ribosomal RNA
Rfam family: Bacterial small subunit ribosomal RNA
Source: RNAcentral
AUUGUACGCUGGCGGCAUGCUUUACACAUGCAAGUCGAACGGUAACAGGUUAAGCUGACGAGUGGCGAACGGGUGAGUAAUGCAUCGGAACGUGCCCGAUCGUGGGGGAUAACGCAGCGAAAGCUGCGCUAAUACCGCAUACGAUCUGAGGAUGAAAGCGGGGGACCGUAAGGCCUCGCGCGAUCGGAGCGGCCGAUGUCAGAUUAGGUAGUUGGUGGGGUAAAGGCUCACCAAGCCGACGAUCUGUAGCUGGUCUGAGAGGACGACCAGCCACACUGGAACUGAGACACGGUCCAGACUCCUACGGGAGGCAGCAGUGGGGAAUUUUGGACAAUGGACGCAAGUCUGAUCCAGCCAUUCCGCGUGCAGGAUGAAGGCCCUCGGGUUGUAAACUGCUUUUGUACGGAACGAAAAGGUCUCUCUUAAUACGGGGGACUCAUGACGGUACCGUAAGAAUAAGCACCGGCUAACUACGUGCCAGCAGCCGCGGUAA